Non-coding RNA from Paralichthys olivaceus (Japanese flounder), 1506 nucleotides. Lineage: Eukaryota; Metazoa; Chordata; Actinopteri; Pleuronectiformes; Paralichthyidae. The record is from the annotation of a RefSeq genome assembly.
GCACUGUGAUUAUGGUUUCGAUUACUGGGGGAAAGGCACAAUGGUCACCGUCACCUCAGCCACUCCAGCUAUACCAACUCUGUUCCCUGUGAUGCCAUGUGGAUCUGGGACUGGACAAACGGUCACUCUUGGCUGCCUCGCCACAGGCUUCACACCCUCCUCACUGACUUUCGCUUGGGACAAAAAUGGAGCUGCCUUGACAGAUGCUAUUCAGUACCCUUCGGUACUGAAAGGCAACUUCUACACAGGAGUCAGUCAAAUCCGAGUCCCGCGACAGGAGUGGGACAAUAGCCGGCCAUUUAAGUGUACUGUGACGCAUGAAGCAGGAAGUCCACAAAUUACCCUCCAAAAGCCAAAGGUAUUAUUUAGUUCACCCGAACUGAAAGUGUCUGCCUUCUAUGGUGAGAAAAACGAGGCCUCCUUCUUCUGCUCUGCCGAAAAUUUUUCACCAAAAGAUUACCAGAUCAAAUGGAUGAAAAAUGGAGACGAUUUCACUGACAUAAUCUCUGAAAUCACAACAUCCACUGAGGAACAUAAAAGCGAGAAUGGUACACUGUACAGUGCAACAAGUAUUCUCAGAGUGCAUACCAGUGACUUGCCUGAAUCGGCUAAGAUUAAAUGCCAGUUCAAGGGGAAAGACGCCAGUGGUGUCAAACUCACUGAAGCCUUUGUGACCUACAAGCCCAUAACAUGCACAAAAGGAUGUAUGGAAGCAGACGUGGACGUAUAUAUCGAAGGCCCCACAGAGCAGGACAUGUUAGUAGACAAAACAGGAACCAUAAAAUGCCAUGUUAAGGUGAAGAACCCAACUGUUAUGAAGAUUUAUUGGGAAAACCAUGAUGGAGAGGAAAUACCUGAUGCCACUUUGAAACCUAAUGGGAGAGGAGAUUCAUACAUCGUUCCUGUUGACAUCACAUAUGAUGAAUGGAGCCAGGGGAUAAAGCUCAACUGUGUUGUGGAACACAGCGAUUGGUUUGAGCUAUUAAGGACACCCUAUGAAAGGAGUACAGGAGUGCAGACUCAGCGUCCGUCAGUGUUUAUGAUGCCACCAGUAGAACACGUUAAAAAAGACACAGUGACUCUGACUUGCUAUGUGAAAGACUUCUCCCCUCCAGAGGUUUUCGUUUCUUGGCUUGUUGAUGAUGAAUACCCUUCAGGAUACAAGUUCAAUACCACAAACCCUAUUGAAAGCAAUGGAUCCUACUCGGCUUAUGGCCAGUUAUCACUCAGCCUCGAGCAGUGGAAAAAAGAGGGUGUGAUGUACAGCUGCGUUGUUUACCACCAAUCUGUGGUUAACAAUACAAAAGCCAUUGUGAGAUCCAUUGGCCACAAAACUUCUGAAACAACCAACCUGGUCAACCUCAACUUGAACAUACCAUGCAAGGCCCAGUAGAUGCUAUUUUAUGUCUUCUGCUGUUUGUUAAUGUUUGUUGCUUUUGAUAUGACAUUGUGUUUGUCUUUUUAAUGCAGAUUCAAAAUCAAAAUAAAAAAAAAAGCACUUUGCAA